UACGUAGGAGGCAAGCGUUAUCCGGAAUGACUGGGCGUAAGGGGUGCGUAGGUGGUUCAGCAAGUUAGUAGCGUAACUCCGGGGCUCAACCUCGGCACUACUACUAAAACUGUUGGACUUGAGUGCAGGAGGGGCAACUGGAAUUCCUAGUGUAGCGGUGGAAUGCGUAGAUAUUAGGAGGAACACCAGUGGCGAAGGCGGCCGCCUGGCCUGUUAACUGACGCUGAGGCACGAAAGCGUGGGGAGCAAAUAGG
This 254-nucleotide ribosomal RNA is filed under the name uncultured Eubacteriales bacterium. Its description in RNAcentral is "uncultured Clostridiales bacterium partial 16S ribosomal RNA". It matches the Rfam family "Bacterial small subunit ribosomal RNA", at positions 524 to 776 of the family's 1533-position model. Lineage: Bacteria; Bacillati; Bacillota; Clostridia; Eubacteriales. The record is from RNAcentral.